This 406-nucleotide ribosomal RNA is filed under the name uncultured bacterium. Its description in RNAcentral is "partial 16S ribosomal RNA". It matches the Rfam family "Bacterial small subunit ribosomal RNA", at positions 30 to 526 of the family's 1533-position model. The record is from RNAcentral.
AUUGAACGCUGGCGGCAGUCCUAACACAUGCAAGUCGAACGAUUCGCGGACGGGAGAGUAAUGUCUGGGAAACGGCCUGAUGGAGGAGGUUAACUACUGGAAACGGUAGCUGAUACCGCAUACCAUCGGAUGUUCCCAGUUGGGAUGAGCUAGUAUGUGGGGUAAAGGCUCACCUAGGCGACGAUCCCUAGCUGGUCUGAGAGGAUGACCAGCCAAACUGGAAAGGAGACACGGUCCAGACGCCUACGGGAGGCAGCAGUGGAGAAUAUUGCACAAUGGGGGCAAGCCUGAUGCAGCCAUGCCGCGUGUAUGAAGAAGGCCUUCGGGUUGUAAAGUACUUUCAGCGGGGAGGCGUUACCAGCAGAAGAAGCACCGGCUAACUCCGUGCCAGCAGCCGCGGUAAUUC